RNAcentral lists this ribosomal RNA (429 nucleotides) under Chloroflexota bacterium. RNAcentral's name for it is "Chloroflexi bacterium partial 16S ribosomal RNA". It matches the Rfam family "Bacterial small subunit ribosomal RNA", at positions 355 to 776 of the family's 1533-position model. Lineage: Bacteria; Bacillati; Chloroflexota. The record is from RNAcentral.
UGGGGAAUAUUGCACAAUGGGCGCAAGCCUGAUGCAGCCAUGCCGCGUGUAUGAAGAAGGCCUUCGGGUUGUAAAGUACUUUCAGCGGGGAGGAAGGGAGUAAAGUUAAUACCUUUGCUCAUUGACGUUACCCGCAGAAGAAGCACCGGCUAACUCCGUGCCAGCAGCCGCGGUAAUACGGAGGGUGCAAGCGUUAAUCGGAAUUACUGGGCGUAAAGCGCACGCAGGCGGUUUGUUAAGUCAGAUGUGAAAUCCCCGGGCUCAACCUGGGAACUGCAUCUGAUACUGGCAAGCUUGAGUCUCGUAGAGGGGGAUAGAAUUCCAGGUGUAGCGGUGAAAUGCGUAGAGAUCUGGAGGAAUACCGGUGGCGAAGGCGGCACCCUGGACGAAGACUGACGCUCAGGUGCGAAAGCGUGGGGAGCAAACAGG